This is a long non-coding RNA of Monodelphis domestica (gray short-tailed opossum), 693 nucleotides long. RefSeq lists it as uncharacterized. The record is from RefSeq and is a predicted model, not a curated record. Lineage: Eukaryota; Metazoa; Chordata; Mammalia; Didelphimorphia; Didelphidae.
UUUGACCUGGAGGGGCUGACUGGCUGCUUUCCAUUAGUGGCUGUUUCUACCUUGUCUUUCCCAUCCUACCUGCUUACCUGAUGUCUUCUUGUCAUCUACUGAGCUUCCUGGUACAAAAACAAUCAUCAGAAUUUCACCUGAAUAUAUAGAUGGAGAACCGGCUCAACGUUUUGGCCAGCAUUAUGCCCUCUAGCUCCAGUGUAGCAAUGCCUUUAUUAUGAACAAGUUCAUCCUCAGUGAUAUCCAUUUCAGUCUUUGGGAUGGUGUGUUCACUAACAUGGUCAGGUACCAUUAUAAUGAUCAAAUCUACCAACCACUUAAUCAUAGUUAUAUGGAUUUCAUUCAGCUGUGGAAAGAAAAAAUAUUCUUUUAAAAGAUUAGAAUUCAGAUGAACUAUUUUAACUUCACUGCAUUUAGUUAAUGAAAAUGUGUUCAAUGUGACUUGAAUGGUAGUAGAGCACUUGGUGAAAUGAAAUUCAUGAUCUAAUUUCAUUAUAACAUAGUUCCAGGCUUCUUUUUUUACUUCAAGCUUCUGUCUCCCUAUCUUGAGAUUUGUUUAAGAUGUUAACAAGGGGCAUGGUUCUGCAGCCACUGAAAGAGGGUCGUUUCUUUAGGAGUAUGUGUGAUGGGAAGUAUAUUAAGUACAGCACUUACUAAGUCCGCAAUUAAAAUGCAUAAUUUAUAAAAUUCAAA